Molecule: ribosomal RNA, 1430 nt
Filed under: uncultured organism
Description: 16S ribosomal RNA
Rfam family: Bacterial small subunit ribosomal RNA
Source: RNAcentral
CAGGCUUAACACAUGCAAGUCGAGGGGCAGCAUGGUCUUAGCUUGCUAAGGCCGAUGGCGACCGGCGCACGGGUGAGUAACACGUAUCCAACCUGCCGUCUACUCUUGGACAGCCUUCUGAAAGGAAGAUUAAUACAAGAUGGCAUCAUGAGUCCACAUGUUCACAUGAUUAAAGGUAUUCCGGUAGACGAUGGGGAUGCGUUCCAUUAGAUAGUAGGCGGGGUAACGGCCCACCUAGUCUUCGAUGGAUAGGGGUUCUGAGAGGAAGGUCCCCCACAUUGGAACUGAGACACGGUCCAAACUCCUACGGGAGGCAGCAGUGAGGAAUAUUGGUCAAUGGGCGAGAGCCUGAACCAGCCAAGUAGCGUGAAGGAUGACUGCCCUAUGGGUUGUAAACUUCUUUUAUAAAGGAAUAAAGUCGGGUAUGGAUACCCGUUUGCAUGUACUUUAUGAAUAAGGAUCGGCUAACUCCGUGCCAGCAGCCGCGGUAAUACGGAGGAUCCGAGCGUUAUCCGGAUUUAUUGGGUUUAAAGGGAGCGUAGAUGGAUGUUUAAGUCAGUUGUGAAAGUUUGCGGCUCAACCGUAAAAUUGCAGUUGAUACUGGAUAUCUUGAGUGCAGUUGAGGCAGGCGGAAUUCGUGGUGUAGCGGUGAAAUGCUUAGAUAUCACGAAGAACUCCGAUUGCGAAGGCAGCCUGCUAAGCUGCAACUGACAUUGAGGCUCGAAAGUGUGGGUAUCAAACAGGAUUAGAUACCCUGGUAGUCCACACGGUAAACGAUGAAUACUCGCUGUUUGCGAUAUACAGCAAGCGGCCAAGCGAAAGCGUUAAGUAUUCCACCUGGGGAGUACGCCGGCAACGGUGAAACUCAAAGGAAUUGACGGGGGCCCGCACAAGCGGAGGAACAUGUGGUUUAAUUCGAUGAUACGCGAGGAACCUUACCCGGGCUUAAAUUGCAGAUGAAUUACGGUGAAAGCCGUAAGCCGCAAGGCAUCUGUGAAGGUGCUGCAUGGUUGUCGUCAGCUCGUGCCGUGAGGUGUCGGCUUAAGUGCCAUAACGAGCGCAACCCUUGUUGUCAGUUACUAACAGGUUCCGCUGAGGACUCUGACAAGACUGCCAUCGUAAGAUGUGAGGAAGGUGGGGAUGACGUCAAAUCAGCACGGCCCUUACGUCCGGGGCUACACACGUGUUACAAUGGGGGGUACAGAGGGCCGCUACCACGCGAGUGGAUGCCAAUCCCAAAACCUCUCUCAGUUCGGACUGGAGUCUGCAACCCGACUCCACGAAGCUGGAUUCGCUAGUAAUCGCGCAUCAGCCACGGCGCGGUGAAUACGUUCCCGGGCCUUGUACACACCGCCCGUCAAGCCAUGGGAGCCGGGGGUACCUGAAGUGCGUAACCGCGAGGAGCGCCCUAGGGUAAAACUGGUGACUGG